ACCGAAGCUGCGGCAGCGACGCUUAUGCGUUGUUGGGUAGGGGAGCGUUCUGUAAGCCUGUGAAGGUGUGUCGUGAGGCAUGCUGGAGGUAUCAGAAGUGCGAAUGCUGACAUAAGUAACGAUAAAGCGGGUGAAAAGCCCGCUCGCCGGAAGACCAAGGGUUCCUGUCCAACGUUAAUCGGGGCAGGGUGAGUCGACCCCUAAGGCGAGGCCGAAAGGCGUAGUCGAUGGGAAACGGGUUAAUAUUCCCGUACUUGGUGUUACUGCGAAGGGGGGACGGAGAAGGCUAUGUUGGCCGGGCGACGGUUGUCCCGGUUUAAGCGUGUAGGUGUGUGUUCCAGGUAAAUCCGGUUCACUUUAACACUGAGGCGUGAUGACGAGGCACUACGGUGCUGAAGUAACAAAUGCCCUGCUUCCAGGAAAAGCCUCUAAGCAUCAGGUAACAUCAAAUCGUACCCCAAACCGACACAGGUGGUCAGGUAGAGAAUACCAAGGCGCUUGAGAGAACUCGGGUGAAGGAACUAGGCAAAAUGGUGCCGUAACUUCGGGAGAAGGCACGCUGACACGUAGGUGAAGUGAUUUACUCAUGGAGCUGAAGUCAGUCGAAGAUACCAGCUGGCUGCAACUGUUUAUUAAAAACACAGCACUGUGCAAACACGAAAGUGGACGUAUACGGUGUGACGCCUGCCCGGUGCCGGAAGGUUAAUUGAUGGGGUCAGCGCAAGCGAAGCUCCUGAUCGAAGCCCCGGUAAACGGCGGCCGUAACUAUAACGGUCCUAAGGUAGCGAAAUUCCUUGUCGGGUAAGUUCCGACCUGCACGAAUGGCGUAAUGAUGGCCAGGCUGUCUCCACCCGAGACUCAGUGAAAUUGAACUCGCUGUGAAGAUGCAGUGUACCCGCGGCAAGACGGAAAGACCCCGUGAACCUUUACUAUAGCUUGACACUGAACAUUGAGCCUUGAUGUGUAGGAUAGGUGGGAGGCUUUGAAGUGUGGACGCCAGUCUGCAUGGAGCCGACCUUGAAAUACCACCCUUUAAUGUUUGAUGUUCUAACGUGGACCCGUGAUCCGGGUUGCGGACAGUGUCUGGUGGGUAGUUUGACUGGGGCGGUCUCCUCCUAAAGAGUAACGGAGGAGCACGAAGGUUGGCUAAUCCUGGUCGGACAUCAGGAGGUUAGUGCAAUGGCAUAAGCCAGCUUGACUGCGAGCGUGACGGCGCGAGCAGGUGCGAAAGCAGGUCAUAGUGAUCCGGUGGUUCUGAAUGGAAGGGCCAUCGCUCAACGGAUAAAAGGUACUCCGGGGAUAACAGGCUGAUACCGCCCAAGAGUUCAUAUCGACGGCGGUGUUUGGCACCUCGAUGUCGGCUCAUCACAUCCUGGGGCUGAAGUAGGUCCCAAGGGUAUGGCUGUUCGCCAUUUAAAGUGGUACGCGAGCUGGGUUUAGAACGUCGUGAGACAGUUCGGUCCCUAUCUGCCGUGGGCGCUGGAGAACUGAGGGGGGCUGCUCCUAGUACGAGAGGACCGGAGUGGACGCAUCACUGGUGUUCGGGUUGUCAUGCCAAUGGCACUGCCCGGUAGCUAAAUGCGGAAGAGAUAAGUGCUGAAAGCAUCUAAGCACGAAACUUGCCCCGAGAUGAGUUCUCCCUGAGACUUAAAGUCUCCUGAAGGAACGUUGAAGACGACGACGUUGAUAGGCCGGGUGUGUAAGCGCAGCGAUGCGUUGAGCUAACCGGUACUAAUGAACCGUGAGGCUUAACCUUACAACGCCGAAG
This 1768-nucleotide ribosomal RNA is filed under the name Salmonella enterica subsp. enterica serovar Dublin. RNAcentral describes it as "bacterial LSU rRNA". It matches the Rfam family "Bacterial large subunit ribosomal RNA", at positions 1193 to 2925 of the family's 2925-position model. Lineage: Bacteria; Pseudomonadati; Pseudomonadota; Gammaproteobacteria; Enterobacterales; Enterobacteriaceae. The record is from RNAcentral.